RNAcentral lists this unclassified non-coding RNA (378 nucleotides) under uncultured Simkaniaceae bacterium. RNAcentral's name for it is "contains 16S-23S intergenic spacer region". Lineage: Bacteria; Pseudomonadati; Chlamydiota; Chlamydiia; Parachlamydiales; Simkaniaceae. The record is from RNAcentral.
UCCUGGUUAACCCAGGCAGUCUCACUAGAGUCCCCGCCUUGACGCGUUGGCAACUAAUGAUAAGGGUUGCGCUCGUUGCUGGACUUAACCAAACACCUCACGGCACGAGCUGACGACAGCCAUGCAGCACCUAUAAAGGAGUCCUUGCGGACGUAAACAUCUCUGCUUACUUCCCCUUCAUUUCGAGCCUGGGUAAGGUUCUUCGCGUUGCAUCGAAUUAAACCACAUGCUCCACUGCUUGUGCGGGCCCCCGUCAAUUCUUUUGAGUUUCACCCUUGCGAGCGUACUCCCCAGGCGGUAUACUUAUCGCGUUAGCUUCGACACAGUCAGGGUUGAGCCCAACUACAUCAAGUAUACAUCGUUUACGGCAAGGACUAC